This 74-nucleotide transfer RNA is filed under the name Parafrankia sp. BMG5.11. RNAcentral describes it as "Frankia sp. BMG5.11 tRNA-Gly". It matches the Rfam family "tRNA". From Rfam's summary of the family: Transfer RNA (tRNA) molecules are approximately 80 nucleotides in length. Their secondary structure includes four short double-helical elements and three loops (D, anti-codon, and T loops). Lineage: Bacteria; Bacillati; Actinomycetota; Actinomycetes; Frankiales; Frankiaceae. RNAcentral also lists the same sequence under 3 other names. The record is from RNAcentral.
GCGGGCAUGAUGUAGUGGUAGCCUGCCAGCUUCCCAUGCUGGACGUGCGGGUUCGAUUCCCGCUGCCCGCUCCA